Long non-coding RNA from Bos taurus (domestic cattle), 915 nucleotides. The record is from Ensembl. Lineage: Eukaryota; Metazoa; Chordata; Mammalia; Artiodactyla; Bovidae.
ACAGGAGGCCUUCCUUCUGUCUUUGGCUCAGGUUACUCUACUUAUGGGCUUCCCUGCUGUCUCAGUGGUAAAGACUCUGCCUGCAAUGCAGGAGAUGCAGGUUCCCUGGGUUGGGAAGAUCCUCUGGAGAAGGGACCAGCAACCCACUCCAGUAUUCUUGCCUGGAAAAUCCCGACAGAGGAGCCUGGUGGGCUACAGUCUAUAGCAAAGAGUUGGACACAGCUGAAGUGACUGAGCACGUGCUCUACUUAAAACCUUCUUGUCUUUCGAGUUGACUGUUUUCUCCUUCACUUUUCUGCCCUGGGUCCAUGAGAGUCUAUGCUAGAUUCCAGAUGUGGCUUCUCUAGAAUAUGAAAACUCCCAGCACCCCUGGGAGGCACCCCCCAUCUAUGAGGAAGUUGAUCACCCAACAGUACCUUCCCCUGUACAUGCUCCAGGCCCAGCCCCCACUCCUGUUGCUCCCACUUUGGGUUCACCAUCCUGGAAAAGGUUCAGGGUGGUGAUGGAGUUAAUGCAAUCCAAUCGGAACCUGUGAGGAAGAGCUUGGCACUAGUAUAAACUUCCCCACUGCCAGGGCGGCCCUGGAUAAUUACAAUAUUGUGCUGGUUUCUGCCAUACGUCACCAUGAAUCAGCCACAGGGACAUCUUGAUGUAGACAAGCUCCUGAAACAAAUGUACACUGUGCCAUCACCAGCACGGAUACACUGAAAACACCCUUGCCGGCACAGACCUUCCCUAUAACAAGGGUUAUUUAUGUCCUUGGGUAUGGCCCUAACCCACAAACCUCUGCCUGCUGUCCCUCAGAGUAUCUUAAAAAGGCUAAAUUACAUGUGAAAAGAUGAUCAAUGUCGCUAAUCAUCCGGGAAAUACAAUGAGAUAUCACCUUACACCUGUCAGAAUAGCCAUCAUCAAAAA